RNAcentral lists this ribosomal RNA (454 nucleotides) under uncultured bacterium. RNAcentral's name for it is "bacterial SSU rRNA". It matches the Rfam family "Bacterial small subunit ribosomal RNA", at positions 397 to 871 of the family's 1533-position model. The record is from RNAcentral.
CCGCGUGAGUGAUGAAGGCCCUAGGGUCGUAAAGCUCUUUCGAAGAGAAAUAAUGACAGUAUCUGGAAAAGAAACCCCGGCUAACUCCGUGCCAGCAGCCGCGGUAAUACGGAGGGGGUUAGCGUUGUUCGGAAUUACUGGGCGUAAAGCGCACGUAGGCGGAUCAGAAAGUAUGAGGUGAAAUCCCGGGGCUCAACCCCGGAACUGCCUUGUAAACUCCUGGUCUUGAGUUCGAGAGAGGUGAGUGGAAUUCCGAGUGUAGAGGUGAAAUUCGUAGAUAUUCGGAGGAACACCAGUGGCGAAGGCGGCUCACUGGCUCGAUACUGACGCUGAGGUGCGAAAGUGUGGGGAGCAAACAGGAUUAGAUACCCUGGUAGUCCACACCGUAAACGAUGAAUGCCAGACGUCAGCAAGCAUGCUUGUUGGUGUCACACCUAACGGAUUAAGCAUUCCG